GACGAACGCUGGCGGCGUGCCUAACACAUGCAAGUCGAGCGGAGCCAACCGAUAGAUCCCUUCGGGGUGACAUCGGGGAAGCUUAGCGGCGGACGGGUGAGUAACGCGUGAGUAACCUGCCCAUAAGAGGGGAAUAACACAGCGAAAGUUGUGCUAAUACCGCAUAAUAUGUUUUUACCGCAUGAUAGAAACAUCAAAGAUUUAUCGCUUAUGGAUGGACUCGCGUCUGAUUAGGUAGUUGGUGAGGUAACGGCUCACCAAGCCUACGAUGUCUAGGGGUUCUGAGAGGAAGGUCCCCCACACUGGAACUGAGACACGGUCCAGACUCCUACGGGAGGCAGCAGUGGGGAAUAUUGGGCAAUGGGCGAAAGCCUGACCCAGCGACGCCGCGUGAGGGAAGAAGGGUCUUCGGAUUGUAAACCUUUGUUGAUAGGGAAGAAGAAAGUGACGGUACCUAUCGAGGAAGCCACGGCUAACUACGUG
This 483-nucleotide ribosomal RNA is filed under the name uncultured bacterium. Its description in RNAcentral is "bacterial SSU rRNA". It matches the Rfam family "Bacterial small subunit ribosomal RNA", at positions 28 to 507 of the family's 1533-position model. The record is from RNAcentral.